GGGCGAGUAGCUCAGCCGGAAGAGCAACAGCUCGACACGCUGUAGGUCGCAGGUUCGAUUCCUGUCUCGCCCACCA
RNAcentral lists this transfer RNA (76 nucleotides) under archaeon. Its description in RNAcentral is "tRNA-Val". It matches the Rfam family "tRNA". Rfam says of the family: Transfer RNA (tRNA) molecules are approximately 80 nucleotides in length. Their secondary structure includes four short double-helical elements and three loops (D, anti-codon, and T loops). The record is from RNAcentral.